Molecule: long non-coding RNA, 339 nt
Organism: Gossypium arboreum
Lineage: Eukaryota; Viridiplantae; Streptophyta; Magnoliopsida; Malvales; Malvaceae
Exons: 2
Source: RefSeq, a predicted model, not a curated record
UUUGUUUGAAUUAGCUCAAGAGCUUAGAGGGCCACAAUUGGAUAAGGGGAAGGAAAAAGUGAUCGAAUAGCCGUCAAAGCCGUUCGACAACAUCCGAGAUUUUGCUCGUAGCAAUCGGAUUCGGGAUCAUUAAAGUCGAAGUCAUCUACACUAUCAAAGCCUCCAUUUUGGUAUAAUUUUGGUUGAACUUUGAAAUGGUAUGUAUAGGACUACCCUAAUGUUGAAGGUCAUGUACCUUUCGGUUUUGUGUAAGCUUGGAUAGCCAUGCGAAAAUGGCUUAUAUACGUUUUUGGUAUGAUUCUAUAAUAGUUUGUAUGAUAAUCAUUAUGGGGUAUGAAA